GUCGCGCGUGGCCGGGAGAAGCUGACAACAUUGUAUCCCCGGGGCUGCUCGAUGGAACGUUGCAGAGUUGAGCGUUCCAUUCCGCUCAGAACUUUCGAGCCGCGGCCCGGGAUGCAGCGUUUGCUGAGUGGCGGGUGGUUGGUGCGGGGUAGCGGGCGGGGGCUAGCCAUGGCGGGCUUGCAUGGGACGGGAGGCAAAAGCCCAGAACAGAGGCACCCGCGGAGGAGGGGCUGCUAGCCCGGGUGCCGGUGGUGGCUGCCGCGGCGCCCACGGGGAACUCCAGCCGCAGCGGAGGGCUGACCUAGUAUCGCUGGCCGGGGGUUGUCGCGGAGCGGCUCAACGGCGACAAGCUGAACGGCUCAGGGGACCGCAGAGGCUGCGAGUUCCGCCGCCGCGAAGAUGACUCGGUCCACCCGUACCACCGCGGCUCCAGCGCCGACUACCGCAGGAGCAGCUUCGACAAGGGCCACCUGGCCGCCGGCAACCACAAGCGGAGCCAAGAAGCCAUGGGCGACACUUUCUACUUGAGCAACAUCGCCCCCCACCCCCAGGAAAGCACAUUGGCUGCAGUCAAAUUCACCUACAGCCCCGGAUCUCACCACAUUCAGGAACCGGUCCGGGUAUCCUGAGCACCCUUUCACCUCCCCAGUGCCGACGACCCACUGUUUGAACCCUAGACUUAAGGCUCUGCUGGGACCCGACAGUCACCUGUCCCUCGUGAAAGUGAAAGAAACAUGACUCUAAGACACACAUUUAAGAAGCGGCACCCAUGUUCUUAAAAAAGAAGAAAAAGAGCUGGCCAUUUUAUAAGAAGCUUGGCAGUACUGCAUUUCAUUAGGGCCUCCUUUGCAUUUCAAAGGACAAGUCGUUCAACCACCUCACCUCCUAAGCCCCAAUUGAGCAGAGACAGAUGUUGGUCCCUCACUUCUGGAGUCCGAUAGGGUUUCCCAGCAAGCCUUGGGGCUUCCCACGGCCCCAGGACUCCCUUGCGUGAAGCAAGCCGUUCCUCCAACUCUGCAGCAAGCUGGUGUUUAAAACCGGAGAGUCCUCCUUCUAAAAAACAAGAGGCAGCACCGUCAGCAGGUACAGUAGCCUCAAUUAGUCUCAGAUCUUAUGCAGCUCCUCUUCCCUCUGGCCGCUGGAAAGCAGAGUGGAGUUCAGUUGUUUCUACUAUCCAACAGCUUGUGUGCAUUUCCUGAUCUCCGGCAGGAAAUCGAGACGUAUGGGGAAAGUAGCCGUUCCGUUCAGCUGCUUUUCUUCGCCGCUUCGUUGAUCUUUGGUCUCAGCGCUGACAGGGAGAUGAGGAUCGCUUCCUAGAAAGCCACCCAAACAGCAAAUGUGAGAGACAAAACACACGCUCAAAAUGUUCGAGUUGGAAGGGUCCCUUAGAGGUCUUCUAAUCCACCCCCCUUCUCAGCACAAGAAACUACUAUAGCGCCUCGGACAGAUGCUUGUGCAGCCUCUGUUCGAAAACCUCCAGCAAAAGGAGAGCCCACUAUUGCAUGAGGCAGACAGUUCCACUGUCAAACGGCUCUUACAGUUCCGUUCUUCCUAAUGUCCAGCCCAAAUCUGCUUCCCUCUAAUUUCAACCCACAGGUUCUAACCCUCUACAGCGGCUCGUUCUGCUUCUCCUUCUAUGCAACAGCUUUUCAGAUAUUUGAAGACGGCUUCUAUCUCUCCCCUUAGUCUUCUAUCUACCCCUCAGCGGCCCACAAUAACCCAAUAAAUUUCAUGGCCUAGUGGCGGUUUGAA
Hemicordylus capensis (graceful crag lizard) is the source of this 1752-nucleotide long non-coding RNA. RefSeq lists it as uncharacterized. The record is from RefSeq and is a predicted model, not a curated record. The transcript has 2 exons. Lineage: Eukaryota; Metazoa; Chordata; Lepidosauria; Squamata; Cordylidae.